AACGCGAAGAACCUUACCUGGGCUCGAAAUGUAGUGGACCGGGGUAGAAAUAUCCCUUCCUAGCAAUAGGCUGCUAUAUAGGUGCUGCAUGGCUGUCGUCAGCUCGUGUCGUGAGAUGUUGGGUUAAGUCCCGCAACGAGCGCAACCCUUAUUACCAGUUGCCAUCAUUUAGUUGGGCACUCUGGUGAGACCGCCUCGGAUAACGGGGAGGAAGGUGGGGAUGACGUCAAGUCCUCAUGGCCUUUAUGUCCAGGGCUACACACGUGCUACAAUGGCCGGUACAAACCGUCGCAAACCCGUGAGGGGGAGCUAAUCGGAGAAAGCCGGCCUCAGUUCGGAUUGGAGUCUGCAACUCGACUCCAUGAAGCUGGAAUCGCUAGUAAUCGCAGAUCAGAACGCUGCGGUGAAUACGUUCCCGGGCCUUGUACACACCGGAGUA
This 439-nucleotide ribosomal RNA is filed under the name uncultured bacterium. RNAcentral's name for it is "bacterial SSU rRNA". It matches the Rfam family "Bacterial small subunit ribosomal RNA", at positions 958 to 1398 of the family's 1533-position model. The record is from RNAcentral.